GAUGAACGCUGGCGGCGUGCUUAACACAUGCAAGUCGAACGAGGAAGCCCAGCUUGCUGGGUGGUUUAGUGGCGAACGGGUGAGUAACACGUGAGCAACCUGCCCCUGACUCUGGGAUAAGCGCUGGAAACGGCGUCUAAUACUGGAUAUGUCCCGUCACCGCAUGGUGUGCGGGUGGAAAGAUUUUUCGGUUGGGGAUGGGCUCGCGGCCUAUCAGCUUGUUGGUGAGGUAAUGGCUCACCAAGGCGUCGACGGGUAGCCGGCCUGAGAGGGUGACCGGCCACACUGGGACUGAGACACGGCCCAGACUCCUACGGGAGGCAGCAGUGGGGAAUAUUGCACAAUGGGCGGAAGCCUGAUGCAGCAACGCCGCGUGAGGGAUGACGGCCUUCGGGUUGUAAACCUCUUUUAGCAGGGAAGAAGCGAAAGUGACGGUACCUGCAGAAAAAGCACCGGCUAACUACGUG
Molecule: ribosomal RNA, 467 nt
Filed under: uncultured bacterium
Lineage: Bacteria
Description: partial 16S ribosomal RNA
Rfam family: Bacterial small subunit ribosomal RNA
Source: RNAcentral